Molecule: ribosomal RNA, 514 nt
Filed under: uncultured bacterium
Lineage: Bacteria
Description: partial 16S ribosomal RNA
Rfam family: Bacterial small subunit ribosomal RNA
Source: RNAcentral
GAUGAACGCUGGCGGCGUGCCUAAUACAUGCAAGUCGAGCGAACUGAUUAGAAGCUUGCUUCUAUGACGUUAGCGGCGGACGGGUGAGUAACACGUGGGCAACCUGCCUGUAAGACUGGGAUAACUUCGGGAAACCGAAGCUAAUACCGGAUAGGAUCUUCUCCUUCAUGGGAGAUGAUUGAAAGAUGGUUUCGGCUAUCACUUACAGAUGGGCCCGCGGUGCAUUAGCUAGUUGGUGAGGUAACGGCUCACCAAGGCAACGAUGCAUAGCCGACCUGAGAGGGUGAGCGGCCACACUGGGACUGAGACACGGCCCAGACUCCUACGGGAGGCAGCAGUAGGGAAUCUUCCGCAAGGGACGAAAGUCUGACGGAGCAACGCCGCGUGAGUGAUGAAGGCUUUCGGGUCGUAAAACUCUGUUGUUAGGGAAGAACAAGUACAAGAGUAACUGCUUGUACCUUGACGGUACCUAACCAGAAAGCCACGGCUAACUACGUGCCAGCCGCCGCUGUAA